CAGAUCCAGAAAUGGCAUCUGCUACUCCAGGGAAGAAAACCAGCUUGCUUUCAUAGUCACUGGGAGGCCCGUAAAUCUACUCCAAAAAACAAAAAAAAAAAAAGUUUUUAAGAAAAUAAUAACCAUAAAGAGUUACCGGUACAAUGAAUCAGCUCCAAUGAGUAAAAGGAAAAGGAAUCACUUACAAGAUGCUUAAACCACUGCCUUCCUUGAAGCCCAUCUGCAUCCAAGAACCCUCUUUCAGCAAGCAUCAGCCGAUCAUUCAAUGCUCGCUUUUGCAAC
Long non-coding RNA from Juglans microcarpa x Juglans regia, 282 nucleotides. RefSeq lists it as uncharacterized. NCBI's taxonomy places the organism in Eukaryota, Viridiplantae, Streptophyta, Magnoliopsida, Fagales, Juglandaceae. The record is from RefSeq and is a predicted model, not a curated record. The transcript has 2 exons.